Molecule: ribosomal RNA, 1092 nt
Filed under: uncultured organism
Description: bacterial SSU rRNA
Rfam family: Bacterial small subunit ribosomal RNA
Source: RNAcentral
GGGUAACGGCCCACCAAGGCGACAACGGGUAGCUGGUCUGAGAGGAUGGUCAGCCACACUGGAACUGAGACACGGUCCAGACACCUACGGGUGGCAGCAGUCGAGAAUCAUUCGCAAUGGGGGAAACCCUGACGAUGCGACGCCGCGUGGAGGAUGAAGGCCUUAGGGUUGUAAACUCCUGUCAAGAGGGAAUAAGCAAGUGAAGGUACCUCUAGAGGAAGGGGCGGCUAAUUCCGUGCCAGCAGCCGCGGUAACACGGAAGCCCCGAGCGUUGUUCGGAUUCAUUGGGCGUAAAGGGUGCGUAGGCGGCGCGGAAAGUCCGGCGUGAAAGGCAGGGGCUCAACCUCUGGACUGCGUUGGAUACUUCCGUGCUUGAGGACUGGAGGGGAGACUGGAAUUCACGGUGUAGCAGUGAAAUGCGUAGAUAUCGUGAGGAAGACCGGUGGCGAAGGCGAGUCUCUGGACAGAUCCUGACGCUGAGGCACGAAGGCUGGGGGAGCGAACAGGAUUAGAUACCCUGGUAGUCCCAGCAGUAAACGAUGUGAGCUUGAUGUGGGGGGAUUCGACCCCUUCCGUGUCGAAGCUAACGCGAUAAGCUCACCGCCUGAGGAGUACGGCCGCAAGGCUAAAACUCAAAGAAAUUGACGGGGACCCGCACAAGCGGUGGAGUAUGUGGCUUAAUUCGAUGCAACGCGAAGAACCUUACCUGGCCUUGACAUGCAUUGUGUCGUCGGUGAAAGCCGGCUAGUCCUGGAAACAGGACGCUUUGCACAGGUGCUGCGUGGCUGUCGUCAGCUCGUGUCGUGAGAUGUUGGGUUAAGUCCCGCAACGAGCGCAACCCUUGUGGUCAGUUACUAACCGGCUUAGCCGGAGGACUCUGGCCAGACUGCCCUGUCAAACGGGGAGGAAGCUGGGGACGACGUCAAGUCAGUAUGGCCCUUAUGGCCAGGGCUGCACACGUACUACAAUGCCCGGUACAAUGUGAACCGAAACCGCGAGGUGGAGGAAAUCGCUCUUGAAAACCGGGCCCAGUUCGGAUUGGAGUCUGCAACUCGACUCCAUGAAGUCGGAAUCGCUAGUAAUGGCGUAUCA